Cyanistes caeruleus (blue tit) is the source of this 560-nucleotide long non-coding RNA. RefSeq lists it as uncharacterized. Lineage: Eukaryota; Metazoa; Chordata; Aves; Passeriformes; Paridae. The record is from RefSeq and is a predicted model, not a curated record.
AAUGUUUCCCAGAGGAAGCAGUGGCUCAUUGGCAGGAAAGAAGGCGAUGCCAGGCACAGGCCCAGACACAGGAGAUGCAGCUGGCACCACAACAUGUGUUCCCAAUUCCCAGAAGGGCAUCGGAAGAGGUUUCUGUCAGGGAACACGCUGUUGGCCAGAAGUAAUGGCAGGCCUGAUUUGUUUGGUGCAUUUAUUCGUUUUAUAUGGUGCUGGAAUCUGGUAUUGCUGGAAGAGAAAACAGAGCGCCUCUGCACCUCCAGAUGUCCUGCCAAACACGUUAGUCUGGGAGACCUGCACCCGUCUUCCUCCAUCACCAAACCAGUGUCCGUUGUCCCUGCCACAGCUGCAUUAUCAGCUUAUUGCUGUGCCGCCACCACCCAGAACAGGACCCUCUGUCCCUGCAGGUGCUGGCCCUGGUGCCUGGCCAGGCCUGAAUGUGGGCCCCUCCUGCCAGGGAAGGGCUUGAGCAACACCUUUGGGCUUCUGCUCUGGGCUCUGGCUGGUACCACCAGCACUGGCACAGCUGCUUGGCUGGCCACAGCCUUGGCUGGGCAGGCAGC